RNAcentral lists this long non-coding RNA (2007 nucleotides) under Phoenix dactylifera (date palm). Its description in RNAcentral is "long non-coding RNA (PDAC_LNC003201)". The record is from RNAcentral. Lineage: Eukaryota; Viridiplantae; Streptophyta; Magnoliopsida; Arecales; Arecaceae.
AGGGAAUUAGCACAGAACUAAAUCAUACUAUUCAUGAAUGAAUAAGAAAGACCUAGAUGAGAGGACCUAGCACAGUUUAAUAAUGUAAUAUGUUCUGUAAAUAGUAUGAUAACUAAAUCACCAAACAAUUCCAAAUACUGUUUACAAGAGGGCUAUCAAGAAACAACUGCCCAGUGCAUCGCACAAAAUUAAACUGGAAAAAUACAGAACCUGCACAUCUCCCAGUAAGAUCAUAAUAAGUUGAUUAUUUAUUUGGAUCAGAAAAAGAAGAAAAGUUGAAUAUUCUUAUCUGAUGAUUAAAACAGAACUAUGAUCACCAUCUUAUCUAGCAUCUGAUAAAGCUGAACCAUACAGGUACGCCAACAAUGAACAAGAUAAGCACACUGUCAAUCUUAGCUAUUCUAAACAUACCAUGAUUAGGUCACUAAGGAUCAUGCGCUUUGAAGUUGAAGUUGUUGGAAUGGCAUAAAGUUUAAUUCCUUCUGGUAGUUUUUCAUCUUGAUCACCAACCUAAAUGAAAAAUAUAGAAACAUGAAAAGAAUUAAGAAUAUUUUAUGGAGCACAACUAAACAAAGAUAGAGAAAGAUGCACACGUAUUCACAUAUUGACUUUUUUAUGCAUGAAUGCAUGUAAAAGUAGCACCAGGUCACUAUUGCAUAACAGGGCACAUAUUAUGCAAUUACAAUGCCAGAAUACAUAUGCCCUAGAAACGGUAUAUGGAUAUGGAAAACAGCAGAGCUUUUACUUUCAAAUGAUGCAUAUUCCUUCAAACUUUAAUCCUGUAUCCAAGAAUCUUCAAUAUCCUCAUGCAAUCGCAUGCUUGCAAGAAAUUACUAAAUUAGUCAUCCAAAUUUGUUUCAACUAUAUAUUAGCAUGAUUUGAGCUCUUGCCAUAUAUGGCAAUACUAAGAAAUUGCUAGCCAGCUCUGGAAGUCAUAUGACAUACGAAGGACAAUAGGUUGUUCAAAUCAGUAUUUUGGAGGUAUAAGAUGUCAAGGAAUAGACAACCGUCAACUCUCAAUUGAACCAUUUGAUCAAAUUCAAAAUCUAAGAGAAGGAAUUUCGGGUUCUGGAAUUUCAUAUAUUUCAAUCCCAAUAAAUUUUAACUGCAUUCAGUGAGUGAAAUAUAAGCUAAGCCACCAUGCAAUACAAAGUUAUAAACUACCAAAUUCAAAUUACAUAUUAUUUUACAAAUACAAUAUGACAAAUCAUUAUAUGAGUGUUAUGAUGACCAUGUCUUAGCUUGUUUGAAUAAUAUUUUGUAACUAAAAUAACACAAAAUGAUAGGAAACUUUUUCUUAAAAAAAAAGGUUUACAAGACAUGCUUAGAAAAAAGAAAGAAACAUGCAAUAGUCCUUUCUUCGCUGAACGAGCCAAUCAGAACAAGUUGUUUAGAAUAAGAUAUUACUGAUUACCUAAUAAGCUAUAGCAGCUCUAGGCUAAAUCGACCUGUCAAUGGAACUUAUUCCUUUUGUGCAGAUUUCUCCAUUUUCUCUUCCCUGUACCUGAGUCCAUGAGUGCAUGCUUUACAUUUUACAUUUAGCAGCCUAGGGUUGCCAACGAGCAUUCACAAGAGAAAAACUAACAUGUUUAGUUGCCAAAGCUUUUUACACCAUAACCUAAUUUCCAAAGAGAAUCUGACUGUCAAGAGAUGCAUUUUGCAGCAAACUAGCAUGUUUAUGAUCAUUCAAGUAUUCUCAGAUCCAAAAAUGUUCCUUGAGAGCAAGGUCCACCAUGUCGGUACCUGGCACCAUAUCGGUUGCCUAGCGGCACGAGUCGACACAGGUCAUGCCAAGCCCGUAAUGAGAGAGAAAACCUGCCGGAGCCGAAGAAGGAGAAGAGAAAAAUAGAGAGNNNNNNNNNNNNNNNNNNNNNNNNNNNNNNNNNNNNNNNNNNNNNNNNNNNNNNNNNNAUGAUUAGGUCACUAAGGAUCAUGCGCUUUGAAGUUGAAGUUGUUGGAAUGGCAUAAAGUUUAAUUCCUUCUGGUAGUUUUUCAUCUUGAUCACCA